This 460-nucleotide ribosomal RNA is filed under the name uncultured bacterium. RNAcentral's name for it is "partial 16S ribosomal RNA". It matches the Rfam family "Bacterial small subunit ribosomal RNA", at positions 338 to 795 of the family's 1533-position model. The record is from RNAcentral.
CCUACGGGUGGCAGCAGUGAGGAAUAUUGGUCAAUGGGCGCGAGCCUGAACCAGCCAAGUCGCGUGAGGGAGGACGGCCCUACGGGUUGUAAACCUCUUUUGCCGGGGAGCAACGGGCGCCACGUGUGGCGUCACUGAGAGUACCCGGAGAAAAAGCAUCGGCAAACUCCGUGCCAGCAGCCGCGGUAUUACGGGGGAUGCGAGGGUUAGCCGGAUUUAUUGGGUUUAAGGGGGGCGUUGGCGGAUCGUUAAGUAAGUGGGAAAAUUGGGGGGCCAAACCCCUUCCCGCCAUUGAAACUGGCGUUCUUGAGUGGAAGAGAGGUAUGCGGAAUGCGUGGUGGAGCGGUGAAAUGCAUAGAUAUCACGCAGAACCCCGAUUGCGAAGGCAGCAUGCCGGCUUCCGACUGACGCUGAAGCACGAAAGCGUGGGGAUCGAACAGGAUUAGAUACCCUUGUAGUC